This 468-nucleotide ribosomal RNA is filed under the name uncultured bacterium. Its description in RNAcentral is "partial 16S ribosomal RNA". It matches the Rfam family "Bacterial small subunit ribosomal RNA", at positions 28 to 507 of the family's 1533-position model. The record is from RNAcentral.
GACGAACGCUGGCGGCGUGCUUGACACAUGCAAGUCGAACGGAGAGGCCCUGCUUUUGUGGGGUGCUCGAGUGGCGAACGGGUGAGUAACACGUGAGUAACCUGCCCUUGACUUUGGGAUAACUUCGGGAAACUGGGGCUAAUACCGGAUAGGAGCUCCUGCUGCAUGGUGGGGGUUGGAAAGUUUCGGCGGUUGGGGAUGGACUCGCGGCUUAUCGGCUUGUUGGUGGGGUAGUGGCUUACCAAGGCUUUGACGGGUAGCCGGCCUGAGAGGGUGACCGGCCACAUUGGGACUGAGAUACGGCCCAGACUCCUACGGGAGGCAGCAGUGGGGAAUAUUGCACAAUGGGCGGAAGCCUGAUGCAGCAACGCCGCGUGCGGGAUGACGGCCUUCGGGUUGUAAACCGCUUUCGCCUGUGACGAAGCGUGAGUGACGGUAAUGGGUAAAGAAGCACCGGCUAACUACGUG